This 352-nucleotide ribosomal RNA is filed under the name Cochlicella acuta. Its description in RNAcentral is "partial large subunit ribosomal RNA". Lineage: Eukaryota; Metazoa; Mollusca; Gastropoda; Stylommatophora; Geomitridae. The record is from RNAcentral.
UGUGCAAAGGUAGCAUAAUCAAUUGGCUUGUAAUUUAAGUCUGGUAUGAAUGUAGUUUUAGGUUAAAGCUGUCUCUUUAUGUUAAUUGAAAUUUACUUGGCCGGUGAAAAAACCGGUAGUAAAAUAAUAGACGAGAAGACCCUAGAAAUUUUAUGAAAGGUAUAGUAAUAUAUAUAUUGGAUUUUGUUGGGGCGACAGAGUAACAGUUAACUUACUCUAUUUGAUGUGAAUUAAUUAUGAAAAUGUAAAUUACUCUAGGGAUAACAGCAUAAUUCUAUUAGUGUUUGUGACCUCGAUGUUGGACUAGGAAAGAUAAUAUUCAGAAGAUAUUAUUAUAGGCUCUGUUCGCGCC